This 252-nucleotide ribosomal RNA is filed under the name uncultured bacterium. RNAcentral's name for it is "partial 16S ribosomal RNA". It matches the Rfam family "Bacterial small subunit ribosomal RNA", at positions 524 to 776 of the family's 1533-position model. The record is from RNAcentral.
UACGGGGGGGUAAGCGUUGUUCGGAAUUACUGGGCGUAAAGGGCUCGUAGGCGGCCAACUAAGUCGGACGUGAAAUCCCUCAGCUUAACUGGGGAACUGCGUCCGAUACUGGAUGGCUUGGAUUUGGGAGAGGGAUGCGGAAUUCCAGGUGUAGCGGUGAAAUGCGUAGAUAUCUGGAGGAACACCGGUGGCGAAGGCGGCAUCCUGGACCAAUAUUGACGCUGAGGAGCGAGAGCCAGGGGAGCAAACGGG